RNA transcript from Petromyzon marinus (sea lamprey), 3773 nucleotides. It is a transcript of the gene named katanin-interacting protein-like, with no coding region annotated. Lineage: Eukaryota; Metazoa; Chordata; Hyperoartia; Petromyzontiformes; Petromyzontidae. The record is from RefSeq and is a predicted model, not a curated record.
GUCGUCGUCAUAGUCCUCCUCCGCCCCUCGCUCCUCGUCACUCGGGUGGCUCACCGUGUCCCCUGCAGCUGGGGCAGGACUCUCUCUCUCAUCUCUCAGUGUGACGGGAGGGUGCGUGGGUGCGGGAUUGCGACAGGCAGCCGCAGGAAAGUUGUUUCUUAAAACUUCGCAGGCUGUCUGCGUGAAAUGGAUGACGUGCAUUCUGGGCAAUUAGCUUCCAAGAAGCGAUGGCAGCACGUAUCCGAACUCCCUCCCUCACCGGGGAGAUGUCCACUCCGAGGCCCCGUUGAAGGAGAAUCUCCGGACGGUGGCUCCUCAACCGACAGGCGACCCAGCUGGCAGCUCAGAGGGGGCGGCUGCGAUGCGAGCGCCCAGCGCCACAAGGACGAGCCAAGACGCAAUUCCGCAGCGUUACCAGUUCCGAGGCGGACCACGGCUGACUUGACGCACGCGAGAGGACUGAUGGGGCCAGCACCCAGGCUGCACCAUUUGGCGGCCAGCAGUAGAAGGUUGGAGAACGAGAGCGACCGUCUGCCGUCGUUAGGAAGUCCCGGCAAACGCUUUGAAAUACCCGACCGGCGUUAUUUUAGCCUCGACAGAACUAAGAACCGCUUGAAAGGGCACGACCUCCUCCCGUCGAAAACCCCGGUGGAGCGGGACACGACGAGCCUGCUGGCUCUCAGGAAGCUCUCAAUUCACGACGACGAGGGCCAGAGAUCUCUCAGCCACGAACGCCGCUCGGCCAACGACAGAGUGGAGCGAGCCGACGCAAGGGGACGCGGCAGAGAAUCUCCAAAUGGUUAUUUACCCGCCGACAGGAACACGGCGUCUCCUGUCCAGUGGAGAAAGAAUCAUCACAGCGGCAGCCCCGUGUUGGAAUCCUGGAGCUCCGCGCCGCGGGUCGGAAAGGGCGAUAGGGGCCACCCCUCGGCCCUGCUUGCGGGGGGGAACAGCGAUGACAGGCAGCCCAUGGGCAGCCCCAUUAGCAGCGGGCUGCACGUGGACAAGUCUGCGUGGGGAAGAGAGAGCCUGGACGUCCACCAGCACAGCGGCUGGGAAGCAGAAGUGGAACGCCUUUGGGAAGGAUUUGAUAUCCCAGUGCUGCCACGUGGCCAACACCUUCUCAUCAACAUUUGCAGCACCUGGGGAGACCGCCACUACGUCGGCCUAAAUGGCAUCGAGGUCUUCGCGGACACGGGCGAGCCGGUGCCGAUCGCCGAGGUGCUGGCCAACCCGGCCGACAUCAACGUCCUGCCCGAGUACGGGCGGGACCCGCGUGUCGCCGCCAACCUGGUGGACGGCGUCUACCGCACGCAGGACGACGGCCACCUGUGGCUGGCGCCGUUCACGCCGGGCGCCGCCCACCUGGUACACCUCGCCUUUGCAGAGCCGUGCCGCGUCGCCAUGAUCCGCGUGUGGAACUACAACAAGUCGCGCAUCCACGCGUGUCGCGGGGCACGACACCUCGACAUCUCCCUGGACGGUGUCCUCGUCUUCAGCGGGGAGAUCGCCAAGGCUUCCGGCACGCUCCGCGGGGGCGUGGAGCAGUUCGGAGACACAAUUCUCUUCACCACCGACGACUCAAUCCUCGAGGCCAUGGCUCGGCACGACCAGACGUUUCAGGAGGAGUGGAAGGAGGAAGAGAGCAGAGAGGACCUCCCAAACCGGCCGCGAACGAGCGACAGGGACGCUGACGAGAGGCCAAUCACCUGCGCCGCCUUGCCCAGCUGUGAGCAGCAGAAGAGUUUGGAUUUUGCUGAAGAAACGGAGGGAGAAGUUGGAAAGUAUACGGGGACACGCCUGCAGCUGAACGUGACCCACACGUGGGGAGAUGAGCUGCAGUUUGGGCUCACGGGGCUGGAGGUGGUGGGCUCCAGCGGCGACGCGCUGCCUGUCUCGGCGGGAAUGCUCAGCGCGCCCUCGGCCUCCGCGCCUGGCAGCCCGGCUACCGCCGCGGAGGCCCGGCACGAAUCGCCCUCCUCCGGCCUCGACAGGCUCUUGGACGGCGAGAAUGUGACCACGUGCGCAGAGCACAUGUGGUGCCUGCCUUUCACGCCGGGAAGGAGUCACCUGCUGGUCAUCACCCUCGCACGGGCGCACACCAUCACCGGGCUCAGGUUCUGGAAUUACAACCGCUCGCCCGAGGAUACGAGCAAAGGGGUCCGCACAGUCCACGUGGCGCUGGACGGGCGCGUGGUGUCUCCACCAGAGGGCAUUCUCCUGAGAAAGGGGCCAGGAAAUUGCCACUUUGACUUUGCUCAGGAGAUUAUAUUCCGAGAGUUUGCUCCAGGGAGCGCACAGGCCAGAGCACAGCAGACUUCCUGCAGGCAAAUUCACAAGACAAUCGAGCAGCCGAGCAUGGCCUACGAGGCGCCCGCGAUGCCUUGCGGAUUUAUCUUCCAGCUUCAGCUGUUGACGAGCUGGGGCGACCCGUACUACAUCGGGCUCAACGGCCUGGAGAUUUACGACGCCGAGGGAGAGCUCAUUCCCCUCACGGAGAACCACAUGACGGCUUUCCCAGACAGCGUCAACGUGCUGGAGGGUGUGUGCGGCGACGUGCGCACUCCGGACAAGCUGAUCGAUGGCGUCAACGAUACCCACAACGGUCGGCACAUGUGGCUGGCUCCCAUCCUGCCCGGAGUGGUGAAUCGGGUCUACAUCAUUUUCGACCACCCGACAUCCGUGUCCAUGCUAAAACUGUGGAACUACAGCAAGACGCCGACGAGGGGUGUCAAGGAGUUUGGGGUCCUCGUCGACGACCUGCUGGUGUACAACGGGACUUUGGAGCAAGCCUCCGGGGCGUCACGGAGGGGGUCGCCUUACAGGGGGUCACCUCGUCCGUCGCGCUCGCCCGUGCCAUGUCACACCGUCCUCUUCACCGACGAGCCGACCCCGGUGACGAGGGAGCGCCGCGCGGUGCCCGAGCCACAGGCUUCAAAUAAGAUGCACAUGAUAUAUGCAGAAGAAGAAGAUGAUGAUGACAUUCAGCUGUUCGACAGUGGCCGAGAAUUGCGACAGAGAGUAAAGCCUGUUGACCAAGCUCUUCGCCCCAUGACCUGCAUAGCAGUUCGAGGUCAAAGUGGAAAAAAGUAAAAGUCGCACUUAAAAGCCUGAGCGAUGGCUCAUGGAAAAGGAAAAUUGUUUGCGUUUCUUGCCCAGCACGUCACCGUUGAUCCAGCACUGGCUGAGGGUCACCCGAGUGGGAGCAGUGAGCACCCAGAGUCCAGUGGGUACCGUCACCAACCCGCACUGACCACGCCGGCGAGGUAUGGUCGCGUACCUCUCCCCCACUCGUGCAGCAGCAACAACAACAACAACAAACACACGGAGAUUAAUUCGCACGCAACUGGGAUUUUAUCAAGCAAUCGUGGCUAGGUGUACGUUUAACUUCUUUCACAUCGUACGUGGCCAACCGUGCUAAUCGGAGGUGCGUGGGAAGGACAACAAACUAAACACACAAAAAAAGCAGAGAUAGGUGUAAGAUUAAGUGAUGUCAAGGAUCGCUGGGUAAGGGGAGGAGGGUUGCCUCCUCCGCUUGACGAUUGGCACGCGCGAUGCGUGGUGGACCACCUCGCGUUGUGAUCGUCGAACUGGGGGACAAUAACUGGGAGAAGUAAAUUGCGUGUCCGUGUGGAAUCGGUGAGGGGAGGAGGAAAAGGCGGAGAACGCCAAACUUCUGCAUAGUGGCACCUGGGGGGGGGGGGGUUCAUCAAUGGGUCUUUCCCCCUUUUCAAAGAAGCUCUCCAGCAACGUUUGUUUUUUUUUACUAAUUU